Papaver somniferum (opium poppy) is the source of this 2390-nucleotide long non-coding RNA. RefSeq lists it as uncharacterized. The record is from RefSeq and is a predicted model, not a curated record. NCBI's taxonomy places the organism in Eukaryota, Viridiplantae, Streptophyta, Magnoliopsida, Ranunculales, Papaveraceae. The transcript has 7 exons.
AGUUUAUAUAAGAGACGAGUCCUGUAUCUUUGAGAAUAACGUCAUUAAUCAAUUGAUCACCAUUCUUACAGGGUCAAAUAUCUAAAGAAAUUGAAACUCAACCUGUUCAAAAUCUGUAUGCUAUUCAUGUCCAGAAUCGCUUGAUUGAGUGCAAUUUCAUUGUACCCGAAAGCUUAUCUGAUAGAGAUGGGAGGUGGCAUGUAGGAGCUACUGCAACCCUGAUUGACACUAUUGGUGCCUGCUGCACAUACUACUCAUGGAAAUAUCAAUGUUUCUGUUGAUUUUAACAUUUUUUUACUUCUCCACUGCAAAAAUUCAGGAAGAAGUGGAGAUUGAGGCUAAAGUGUUGGGGAAUAAGGGAAAUCUUUCUUCAGUGAUGGUGGUGAUUAUUUGGUUGCUAUAGGUAAACUAUGGAUGUCUGUAUCUGAUCUCAAUCAUAAAAGUAAGAUGUAAUUAUAAGUAAUUAGAAAUUAUUAAUAAUGACAAUUUGAUUACAAAACUAGACUUAUUCUUGAGUGUUUCUUAAUCAAUUGAAGUGAAUACUUUCUGUACUAAUCCUUGAAGUUGAAGUUCUCAGUAGCUAUUAACAUGGUGAUCACAAGGAACUUAAUAAGGUCCUCCUGUACAAUUAAUGUAAGAUUCAAGCUACACUGAUGAAGCUUUAGGUGUAGGAAGCAAUUGUAGGUGAACCAAUCCCAGAGGAGAUAUCACCUGUACUAUUAAUGUACUUAGAGAGGGUCCUGCCAGCAAUCCAUGAUAGCCUAUUCCACACACUCAGAGGUCGUAUUUUGGUACUACGCAAGGUACUGGUUGGUUAGGCUGCAUAUAAAUACCAAGUACCUGGAUCAUGUAAAGCCCUGUGAGUAAAUAAGCUGCAGACAUGGGUGAUGCAGAUGCAAGAAUAUGAGCUCGGUCGCCGUUUGAGAAUUGAGAUUAGUCUCUACUGUUGCUUUGACGCAUUGGCUAUAUUCCAGAAUCCUUAAGUCCAAUCGGAACAACAAGCUUUUUUAGUAUUUGGAGAAAGCCAUUGAACAGGUGCUCUGUACCUUCUAGGUGCAGUAUAUUUGACUGGGGACUGUGUGUAGCAAGAUAUGGCGUCAGCCUUGUGGUGUUUCCAUAAAGCUUCAGAGAAGUUGAAGAAACCAUGGGUUGUUCGUUAACUAGAGUUGUAGGGGUUUAGCAGGGAAAGCUGCCUCAGCCUUCUGAUCAAUGAUUCUAAAGAAUUGCUUAUUUAAGAGGUUGAGAUAGAUAUUCGUUCCCAUUGUCUUUCCUCAAUUCUUUUAAGCAAGAAAAAUAUGUUUGUAGAAGAUUGUUUAUAUUGUGGGUGAACCCUACUUGAACAAAUAACUUCAUUGAUAAGGUGUGUUCUCAACUGUGCAUGGACUAUCCUAAUUCUCCCACUAAAAUUAUGACUGUACUACAUAAUUGUUGUGUUGUUAGGUGCUAAAGUUCCAGAAGCUAUAACAAAGUUCAAUGUCAACUGAUUUUGAUGACUUAUGGGCAAAGGAAUAUAAACUUCCUCAUGGCAGGGUCUUCUGGAAGGGGAUCCCAAUUGAAAGAGCUCUGUCGCAAAUACUAUCUUCCACAAAUAUUGCUAACGAGAAGGAUGUGAAAUUUUGGAAAGACAAAUGGAGGGGGGCUGUUCCUUUGUGUUUGACCCAGAAGAAAAGCCUUUAAAGGAGCUACUCAAAAGGAUGGGAAAUUGGCCGUUCUUAUUCAUCAGGGGAGGUGGGAUAUUCAGUUCAAGAGACAGCCAUCUGAUGAGGAAAUUGGUGAGCUCUCAAAUCUCUUAAACUCUUCUGGGUGAUGCUCCACUUUGCGUAAUGAAGCAGACUGCAUUUCCUGUAGCUCGAUCUCAGAUUAUACAGUUAAAGAGAUACUCUUGGCUCGUGAAUCAGAGAAUGAGGGUGUCUCUCAACCUUUCAAGUAUCGAAGUAUAUGUGAAAGAAGCAUAUUCCUAAGAAGGUUCAUUUAUAUGUCUGGUUUGUGAUGCAAAAUGCUAUCCUGAUAGUCGACAAUUUGAACAAAAGGGGCUGUGAAAUAGCAGAAGUCUACUGUUGUUUUUGCAACAGUAUGGAGGAUACUGGGGAUCAUAUUUUACUGCGCUGUGGGAAAAAGCUAGCUAGAAAGGUGUGUAAGUUGCUUCCCUUUGCAAAUGUGUUGGCUCUGUGGUCUGAAAGGAACAAGAGACUGAUGGCCAAGAAGAUAAGUAGAGAGGCUGAACCGAUCAUCAAAUGAAGCAAAGAGAUUGAUUUUUCAGUGGGGAUCAAAUUAUGCCUUGUUUCAUUUCUUGUCCUUGGAUUUCUUAAUAAACUGGAAGGCUGUAAUGGAUACGAAUCAAGGGAAGAGUGUUUUGUUUCUUCUGGCCUGAGGCUUGGCUUCAGGUUUCU